UUUUUUCUCGAAAGUAAAAGAUCUAAAUUUAUUUUUUAGUUUUUGUGUCAAAAAAAUUGGGAAAAUGAAUUUAGGUGUGAGAUGUUUAUCGUUUUUACUAAUAUCUAGUAAUUUCAGAAAUAAGUUCAGUUUAGACUUUUGAGGGAUUCUUUAAUUUUUAGAAAUUUUAAAUAAGGUCUUAUAUUUUAGGGGAUGAGCUCUAAAAUAAAUUUAAAAGAAAGUAUAGGAUUAAGUUUUUGGUAGGCUUAGAAUUGGUCAUGAGAUAGUGUUAUAAGAUAAAAAUCUAGGAUUAUGAUUUAAUUUUUCUUUGGAAUUUAUGAAAUUAAAUAUAAAAUAAAAUAGAAAUUGAAAAUAUGAUAAUAUAAGUAGAUAAUGAAAAUUGAGAAAGAGAUUUAAAUUUUACGUAGAAAAAGAGUAAAAGAUUUGUAACAAAAGAACUCGGCAAAAAAGAUUUCCGAAUGUUUAACAAAAACAUUUCCUCUUGAUAAAGGGAGGUAAGGCCUGCUCACUGAAAUUUAAAGAGCCGCAGUAUCCUGACUGUGCUAAGGUAGCAUAAUCAUUAGUCUUUUAAUUGGAGACUGGUAUGAAUGGUUAAACGAGAAAUCAACUUUUUUUGUUAUAGUAAUUGAAUUUAAUUUUUUAGUGAAAAAGCUAAAAUAUUUCAGAAAGACGAGAAGACCCUAUAGAGUUUUAUACUUUAAAAAAUUUUUUUUUAUUAGAUUUUUUUGAAUAAAAUUUUUGAUAGUAUUUUGUUGGGGCGACAUUAAGAUAAAAAAAACUCUUUAUUUUUUAAACUUUAUUAAAAGAAUUGUUUGAUCCUUUAAAAAAGAUCAAAAGAAAAAAUUACCUUAGGGAUAACAGCGUAAUCUUUUUUGAGAGUUCUAAUCGACAAAAAGGUUUGCGACCUCGAUGUUGGAC
This 918-nucleotide ribosomal RNA is filed under the name Tetraclita sp. CEL-Tetra-8-2. RNAcentral's name for it is "partial 16S ribosomal RNA". The stretch from base 450 to 605 matches the Rfam family "Archaeal large subunit ribosomal RNA", at positions 1883 to 2090 of the family's 2987-position model. Lineage: Eukaryota; Metazoa; Arthropoda; Thecostraca; Balanomorpha; Tetraclitidae. The record is from RNAcentral.